This 624-nucleotide long non-coding RNA is filed under the name Helianthus annuus (common sunflower). Its description in RNAcentral is "sRNA HanXRQr2_Chr07g0313281". Lineage: Eukaryota; Viridiplantae; Streptophyta; Magnoliopsida; Asterales; Asteraceae. The record is from RNAcentral.
UUGACUUCACAUUUCAUGUUUGCAACCGUAUUUUGUUUCCUAGGGGUGAGAGUCUAUUACACGACAUGAUGGGCUAGUGUUUACUAUUUAGUCUAAAUGGAUCGGGGGGUGAGUCAGGUUGAGCCCACGAACAUCUUUAGCUAAAUGGGUCGGCUUCAGUUUAGCCAGGUUUACAGGCUAACCUUUACAUUUUUAUAUUUGAAAACAUGUGUUUAGUGUCAUAACUUAAGUUGGUUGGGUAUUUUCUACCAUAUUUAAAUGUUGAAAAACUGAGCAAAUUUGUAAUUUUAGAUUAUUAAUAUGCAAAUAAAAUAAAAUGAAGUUCAAGUUAAACAGCUCGUUUCGUGUCAACUUGUGAACAUGCGAGUCUUGUUCGGGUUUUAAGUCCGACAUGAGUUUUGGGUUCGUAUAGUGCCCCUAAUGUUUUAACGUCUCUUGAAAAGUCAAAUAAGUAAAAUAAAAAUUAGCCUAAAAACGAAACGCUCAAAGCGUAUUGUUAAUAUCAUAUAACCUCUUAAAUCAUUUUAUUAAAUAGAAGCUUAAUAAAAUAAUAGAAUAUUUUUAAUUAUAUUUGAGAUCUACCUGGACAAAGACACCAUUGCAAUAGAUAUCACCAACACAACG